GAGUUGGGCCUGCUCGGUGAUUAAUAUUUAACAGCUGCGGUAUUAUAACUGUACUAAGGUAGCAUAAUAAUUUGCCUUAUAAAUUAGGGCUAGAAUGAAUGGUUUGACGAAAAUUAAUCUGUCUCUAUUUUAUUUAUUAGAAAUUAAUUUUAUAGUGAAAAAGCUUAAAUGAUUUAAAGGGACGAAAAGACCCUAUUGAGCUUAUAUUAAUAUUUAAAUUUAUAUGUAAAUAGAUUUAUUUAAGUUAAUUUUGGUUGGGGUGAUCAAGGAAUAAAAAAUAGUUUAAAAUGUUAAGUAACUUCCUUAAUUUAGGUUAGUUUUGUUGAAUAAUAAACCAAGAUUUUUGCUUAUAUGAUAAGUUACCAUAGGGAUAACAGCGUAAUUUUUUUUGAGAGUUCAUAUUGAGAAAAAAGAUUGCGACCUCGAUGUUGGAUUAAAAUAACCUUAAGGUGAAGAAGCUUUAAUAGGUAAAUCUGUUCGAUUUUUAAAAUU
This 492-nucleotide ribosomal RNA is filed under the name Cistopus sp. Om32. RNAcentral describes it as "partial 16S ribosomal RNA". It matches the Rfam family "Bacterial large subunit ribosomal RNA", at positions 1850 to 2595 of the family's 2925-position model. Lineage: Eukaryota; Metazoa; Mollusca; Cephalopoda; Octopoda; Octopodidae. The record is from RNAcentral.